GAUGAACGCUGGCGGCGUGCCUAAUACAUGCAAGUCGAGCGAACGGACGAGAAGCUUGCUUCUCUGAUGUUAGCGGCGGACGGGUGAGUAACACGUGGAUAACCUACCUAUAAGACUGGGAUAACUUCGGGAAACCGGAGCUAAUACCGGAUGAUAUUUUGAACCGCAUGGUUCAAUAGUGAAAGACGGUCUUGCUGUCACUUAUAGAUGGAUCCGCGCUGCAUUAGCUAGUUGGUAAGGUAACGGCUUACCAAGGCAACGAUGCGUAGCCGACCUGAGAGGGUGAUCGGCCACACUGGAACUGAGACACGGUCCAGACUCCUACGGGAGGCAGCAGUAGGGAAUCUUCCGCAAUGGGCGAAAGCCUGACGGAGCAACGCCGCGUGAGUGAUGAAGGUCUUCGGAUCGUAAAACUCUGUUAUUAGGGAAGAACAUAUGUGUAAGUAACUGUGCACAUCUUGACGGUACCUAAUCAGAAAGCCACGGCUAACUACGUG
RNAcentral lists this ribosomal RNA (497 nucleotides) under uncultured bacterium. RNAcentral describes it as "partial 16S ribosomal RNA". It matches the Rfam family "Bacterial small subunit ribosomal RNA", at positions 28 to 507 of the family's 1533-position model. The record is from RNAcentral.